Molecule: ribosomal RNA, 468 nt
Filed under: uncultured bacterium
Lineage: Bacteria
Description: partial 16S ribosomal RNA
Rfam family: Bacterial small subunit ribosomal RNA
Source: RNAcentral
GACGAACGCUGGCGGCGCGCCUAACACAUGCAAGUCGAACGGAGUCAAGAGGAGCUUGCUUUUCUUGACUUAGUGGCGAACGGGUGAGUAACGCGUGAGUAACCUGCCCUGGAGUGGGGGACAACAGUUGGAAACGACUGCUAAUACCGCAUAAGCCCACGGAUCUGCAUGGAUCUGCGGGAAAAGGAUUUAUUCGCUCUAGGAUGGACUCGCGUCCAAUUAGCUAGUUGGUGAGGUAACGGCCCACCAAGGCGACGAUUGGUAGCCGGACUGAGAGGUUGAACGGCCACAUUGGGACUGAGGCACGGCCCAGACUCCUACGGGAGGCAGCAGUGGGGGAUAUUGCGCAAGGGGGGAAACCCUGAUGCAGCGGCGCCGCGUGGAGGAAGAAGGUUGUCGGAUUGUAAACUCCUGUCGUUAGAGACGAUAAUGACGGUACCUAACAAGAAAGCACCAGCUAACUACGUG